AGCCAGCACCUCAAGUGGUCAGGAUGAUUAUUGGGCCUAAAGCAUCCGUAGCCGGCUCUGUAAGUUUUCGGUCAAAUCCAUGUGCUCAACGCAUGGGCUGCCGAAAAUACUGCAGUGCUAGGAAGUGGGAGAGGUAGACGGUACUUGAUAGGAAGGGGUAAAAUCCUUUGAUCUAUCGAUGACCACCUGUGGCGAAGGCGCCACACUAGAGCGGAUCCGACGGUCAGGGGCGAAGCCUAGGGGCACGAACCGG
Molecule: ribosomal RNA, 253 nt
Filed under: uncultured archaeon
Lineage: Archaea
Description: partial 16S ribosomal RNA
Rfam family: Archaeal small subunit ribosomal RNA
Source: RNAcentral